This 386-nucleotide long non-coding RNA is filed under the name Anser brachyrhynchus (Pink-footed goose). Its description in RNAcentral is "lncRNA (ENSABRG00000007779.1)". Lineage: Eukaryota; Metazoa; Chordata; Aves; Anseriformes; Anatidae. The record is from RNAcentral.
CCUGGAGUAUAACACAACCUCACAUAAUGCUUCCCUCAACUUUUAUAGCAGAGCCGCAGGACGAAUUCUAUGACCAGGCCUCACCGGACAAGAGGACUGAAGCUGAUGGCAACUCUGACCCCAACUCGGAUGAGUAAACUUUCACUGGACCUGUACAACCAGGAAAGAAGGUGGCCCUGGGAUCUGCUGCACGAAAUUCAGGUCCAUGUUCUCAUUUGGGCAGAGCUGGAUCUGAAUUACGACAUUUAAAUCAUGGUUGAUGAGAAUGUAAACUGUGGAAUAUUGGCUUUAGUAGCAUUUUUCUUAUACCUUUCAUGGGAAGUCAGAGAGGGUAUGUUGGGUAAAACUCUACGAAAAAAAAUAAAAUAAUUGAAAAUCCUUUCUCA